RNAcentral lists this ribosomal RNA (395 nucleotides) under uncultured bacterium. RNAcentral describes it as "bacterial SSU rRNA". It matches the Rfam family "Bacterial small subunit ribosomal RNA", at positions 28 to 424 of the family's 1533-position model. The record is from RNAcentral.
GACGAACGCUGGCGGCGUGCUUAACACAUGCAAGUCGAGCGGUAAGGCCCUUUCGGGGGUACACGAGCGGCGAACGGGUGAGUAACACGUGGGUGACCUGCCCUCAGCUCUGGGAUAAGCCUGGGAAACUGGGUCUAAUACUGGAUAUGACUCCACGGUGCAUGUCGUGGGGUGGAAAGCCUUGUGCGGCUGAGGAUGGGCCCGCGGCCUAUCAGCUUGUUGGUGGGGUGAUGGCCUACCAAGGCGACGACGGGUAGCCGGCCUGAGAGGGCGACCGGCCACACUGGGACUGAGACACGGCCCAGACUCCUACGGGAGGCAGCAGUGGGGAAUAUUGGACAAUGGGCGCAAGCCUGAUCCAGCGAUGCCGCGUGUGUGAAGAAGGCCUGCGGGUU